Molecule: ribosomal RNA, 562 nt
Filed under: uncultured Geobacteraceae bacterium
Lineage: Bacteria; Pseudomonadati; Thermodesulfobacteriota; Desulfuromonadia; Geobacterales; Geobacteraceae
Description: bacterial SSU rRNA
Rfam family: Bacterial small subunit ribosomal RNA
Source: RNAcentral
AGAGUUUGAUCCUGGCUCAGAGUGAACGCUGGCGGCGUAGAUUAGGCAUGCAAGUCAAGCGAUAUCCAUUUUUUGAGACAUUGAGACCGCAAGGUGGAUGUGUUGAGAAAAAAGGAAUAUAGCGGCAGACUGGUGAGUAACACGUGAGUAAUUUACCUCUAAGUCGGGGAUAGCCUUGCGAAAGCGAGGAUAAUACCCGAUGUGUUUACCCUGUCAUAAGGCGGGGUAAGUAAAGAAGGCCCGUAAGGGUUUUUGUUUAGAGAUGAGCUCGCGUCCUAUCAGCUAGUUGGUAGGGUAAUGGCCUACCAAGGCUUUUGACGGGUAGCUGGCCUGAGAGGGUGGUCAGCCACACGGGGACUGAGACACUGCCCCAACUCCUACGGGAGGCUGCAGUCGAGGAUAUUUAGCAAUGGGCGAAAGCCUGACUAUGUGACGCCGCGUGAGGGAUGAAGGCCUUCGGGUUGUAAACCCCUUUCAGGAGGGAAGAUGGGACGGGCAACCGUUCGGACGGUACCUCCAGAAGCAGCCACGGCUAACUCUGUGCCAGCAGCCGCGGUAAUAC